Molecule: ribosomal RNA, 1038 nt
Filed under: Triticum aestivum (bread wheat)
Lineage: Eukaryota; Viridiplantae; Streptophyta; Magnoliopsida; Poales; Poaceae
Description: partial small subunit ribosomal RNA
Source: RNAcentral
GACUUGCAUAUGGUGUUCAUUGACUUGGAGAAGGCCUAUGAUAAGAUACCGCGGAAUGUCAUGUGGUGGGCCUUGGAGAAACACAAAGUCCCAGCAAAGUACAUUACCCUCAUCAAGGACAUGUACAAUAAUGUUGUGACAAGUGUUCGAACAAGUGAUGUCGACACCGAUGACUUCCCGAUUAAGAUAGGACUGCACCAGGGGUCAGCUUUGAGCCCUUAUCUUUUUGCAUUGGUGAUGGAUGAGGUCACAAGGGGUAUACAAGGAGAUAUCCCAUGGUGUAUGCUCUUUGCGGAUGUUGUGGUGCUAGUUGACGAUAGUCGAACGGGGGUAAAUAGGAAGUUAGAGUUAUGGAGACAAACCUUGGAAUCGAAAGGGUUUAGGCUUAGUAGAACUAAAACCGAGUACAUGAUGUGCGGUUUCAGUACUACUAGCUGUGAGGAGGAGGAGGUUAGCCUUGAUGGCCAGGUGGUACCUCGGAAGGACACCUUUCGGUAUUUGGGGUCAAUGUUGCAGGAGGAUGGGGGUAUUGAUGAAGAUGUGAACCAUCGAAUCAAAGCCGGAUGGAUGAAGUGGCGCCAAGCUUCUGGCAUUCUCUUAGACAAGAGAGUGCCACAAAAGCUAAAAGGCAAGUUCUACAGGACGGCGGUUCGACCCGCAAUGUUAUAUGGCGCGGAGUGUUGGCCGACUAAAAGGCGACAUGUUCAACAGUUAGGUGUGGCGGAGAUGCGUAUGUUGAGAUGGAUGUGUGGCCACACGAGGAAGGAUCGAGUCCGGAAUGAUGAUAUACGAGAUAGAGUUGGGGUAGCACCAAUUGAGGAGAAGCUUGUCCAACAUCGUUUAAGAUGGUUUGGGCAUAUUCAGCGCAGGCCUCCAGAAGCUCCAGUGCAUAGCGGACGGCUAAAGCGUGCGGAGAAUGUCAAGAGAGGGCGGGGUCGACCGAUUUUGACAUUGGAGGAGUCCGUUAAGAGAGACCUGAAGGAUUGGAGUAUCGACAAAGAGCUAGCUAUGGACAGGGGUGCGUGGAAGCUUGCUAUC